CAGCNUUGUUUAAUGAUUAAAACUCCGGUGGUAAAAGAUGGGCNUGCGUGACAUUAGUUUGUUGGUGAGGUAAUGGCUCACCAAGACUACGAUGUCUAGGGGUUCUGAGAGGAUUAUCCCCCACACUGGUACUGAGACACGGACCAGACUCCUACGGGAGGCAGCAGUGAGGACUAUUGNNCAAUGGACNANAGUCUGACCCAGCCNUGCNGCGUGCAUGAUGACGGCCCUAUGGGUUGUAAACUGCUUUUAUAUGGGAAGAAACCCAAGGACGUGUCCUUGGCUGACGGUACCAUACGAAUAAGGAUCGGCUAACUCCGUGCCAGCAGCCGCGGUAAUACGGAGGAUCCAAGCGUUAUCCGGAUUUAUUGGGUUUAAAGGGUGCGCAGGCGGCCUUAUAAGUCAGUGGUGAAAUCUCCCGGCUCAACCGGGAAACUGCCAUUGAUACUGUAAGGCUAGAAUACAGACGAGGUAGGCGGAAUGUANCAUGUANCGGUGAAAUGCUUA
Molecule: ribosomal RNA, 507 nt
Filed under: uncultured bacterium
Lineage: Bacteria
Description: bacterial SSU rRNA
Rfam family: Bacterial small subunit ribosomal RNA
Source: RNAcentral